CACGUAGGAGGCGAGCGUUGUCCGGAAUCAUUGGGCGUAAAGAGCGCGCAGGCGGCUUGGCAAGUCGGGUGUGAAAUCCCGGGGCUCAACCCCGGGACUGCAUUCGAUACUGUCAGGCUAGAGGUAGGUAGGGGAGAUCGGAAUUCCUGGUGUAGCGGUGAAAUGCGCAGAUAUCAGGAGGAACACCGGUGGCGAAGGCGGCAUCCUGGACCGACACUGACGCUGAGGCGCGAAAGCCAGGGGAGCAAACGGG
RNAcentral lists this ribosomal RNA (253 nucleotides) under uncultured bacterium. RNAcentral describes it as "partial 16S ribosomal RNA". It matches the Rfam family "Bacterial small subunit ribosomal RNA", at positions 524 to 776 of the family's 1533-position model. The record is from RNAcentral.